GUUUUGUUAUUUCUUUGGUUUUUUUUUUUGCUUUUUUCUUUUUCUUAUUCUUUUUUCAAGUAUUAUUUUGUUAUAUACUUUUUUUCUUCAAUUUUUGAUAGCAUCUGUUGCCGUAUACACACAAAUACAUCAAUAUAUGGUAUAUGUAUAUAUAUUUUGUUGGCACACGACACAUCGUGCAUUCUCCAUUUCAUAUAUAGACAUUGAUUUGUAAUUGUUUUUAAUUUGUUGCAUUUGCAUUUGCUGUUUGUUUGCUGUUGCUGGUUGCUGGUUGCACGUUGCUGCUGUAGAUUACUACACGUUGUUUAUCCUUUUAGGCAUAUGUACGAGAGUAUGUUACGUUAGUUAUCAUAAUCAUAAUUUGUUGUACGGCGCUGACUAUGCAACCGUAACUAUGUUUUGCUUGUCGGCGUGUAUAUGAGUAUAAGUGUAUCUGUGUCUCCCGCUAGUGUAACUAUAUCUGUGUAUGGGUGUGUGUGUGUGUGUGUUUUCUACAUUCACAAUUAAUCUUAAUUAAGUAAUCCAUUUUGCUGGUUGUAUAUAUUUUCUCUUUAAAGUGUAAAGACACUAAAUUUCACAAUGUUCGAUUUGUUUUUUUUUUCUUUCUCUAUUUCGCUACAAAGAGACAAGAGGCCCCCUCCCACAGAAAACCCCCCGUUUGUGUGUGUGUGUGUGUGUGUGUGUGUCUAAUUUUUGGGGAGGGGAGGAGGGAUAUUUCCAAGCCCAGAACUAGCCGAAAAUCAUUUGGAGGGGGACAUUCAAAGUCCACCCAUUCCCCCAUGGGGAGCAAAAGUUUUUGGUUAGUUUUUGUAUCUUGUAUUUUCUAUGUGUUUGUGUUUUGUGUCUAUGAGUAUGUAAAUAAUUUACGAAAAUGUCUGGUUUAUACUAUAUAUAUAUCGUAUGUAUACAUAUAGAAUAUCUAUAUAGAUAUAGACGUAUUAUAAAAUCUCUAAACAGCCAUAAAAGUCAAAAGUUCUUAUCAUAGUUAUCUAUUAUCAAUUAUCUAGACUCGUCAUUACACACACUUUCACUUCCACCAAGUUCUGUUUAACUCGAGGAUCCUUAAAUCUGAAUUGGGAGUUUAUUAUCUCUAUGUUUGAAAUCGGAACUCGAUUGUUAUAAGUUUUAGCCGUUGGUUAGGGAGGGAGUAGGGAACUAUACAUAAAUACAAAUUGCUGUGUCCUGCGAUUUUUGGUUUUUCUUUGGUCUCGAUACAAUAUUCAUUCCCCCACGGUUACUUCUUUGUAUUCGAUCAAUUAGCAGGCGGCCUUCUCUGCUCCAAAGGUACGCAUAUCUGAUUACGAUACAGACACAUAUACACAUUUAUAUAUAUUCGUGUUUGUGUAUAUACUUUUUGAUUGCAUAAAACUAAACGCUAAUAUCGAUAUCCUUAUCAAUUACAAUGCUAAAUGUAUCGGUGUGCUUGGUUUUUGAUAUAAGUUUUUGAAUUUCAUGUUCAUUUCCGUUUUCGUUUCCAUUUCCCUUAUGCCUAAAAACGAAAUGGACACCAAGUAAAAAACAUUCAGUACAUAUUCAUAGAGAUACGAUUAGAAUACGAGAACCGUCGAUUAAAAUACGAUUAGAGUUGUGAAUCGAGUUGUGUUGUGGAUUGUGGCUGAAUAUUUGCUGAGUAGUUGGUGAUUUCUGGUUGGUGUAUCGUUGAUAAGGUGUUGGUGAACAUAUUUUGAAUGGAUUUUCCAAUUUAUUUGGAUGAAUAUGACUUGGUGCCCAUGAAAAAAGGAAAUUCUAUCUACUAUUCAUACUAUCCAUGAAUGAGUGAGUGUUCUUUGUGUGUGCGAUCUUUGAUUACCGGUCUUUGGUUUACUUUCAAAUGCAAAUCCAUUGCCGCUGCCUGCCCCUCUACUCGCUCUAUGUUGUGGUAUGCUAGGACAUAUCCCAUUUAUGAGUAGAGAUUUACUACCUCUAAUCGAUUUCGUAUAUAAAAAUAAUUAAAUUCUUUAAUCUGAAACUGCGCAAACGCAACAUCUACACUAUGUAUCGGUUGUGUUGUAGCAAAUCCCAUAAAAGUGCUCCCAUUCUGCUUCACAUUCUCUGAUCAAUCUAUUAAAACAUACAUUCAUAUAUUGUAUCGAUUUCGUUUACGUUUUGCAUCACCUACAAUGAAAUAUAUCCAAUACAUGUUUUUGCAUUCGCUAUAUCUUUUCUAGAUUUCUGCCAUUUUCUGUUUGGUUUCGAAAUCAGCAAAAGGUACAAACAUCAUUUUAAAUUCAAUAUCUUUACCAUUUAGCCAUAGUACUCGUAUGUAUUUAUGUAUGUAAAUGUGUGUAUAUAUGCUUGUUGUAUAUGUCCAUCUAUGAGUAUGAUCUCAGCUCUAGCUGCUAGUUAUCAUAUAUCCGUGUAUACAUGUAUAUAUAACGUAUGUAUGUAUAUUGUUUGUUUUUCUUGUUUUUAGGUAGGAAAUAUGCUAGUCUUAUAAAUUUCACACAUCAACAUUUUUCGGUUAUCUUUCCUCCCUUUCGAUUUGUUAGGAAAUAAUUUUCGUAUUUAAUAAAAUAUAUAUAUUUAUUGUAUAUAUAUCCAUAGAUUUAUCCAUUUUGUAAUAUGUGUACGUGUGUAUUUUUUCGAGUGACUUUUGUUGUUGUUUAUUGAAAACAUCUAUUUAAUUUCAAUCCGAACCACAAAAAUUGUUAAGAGAGUUUUCUGGAGAAAGUUCUUCAAGUGAAGGAAACACGAAGAUUAUAUCAUAUCCAUCUAUAUAUGUUCGUUUUACUGGUAGAUUAAACCUAAUUACGAAGCUUACGUUAACUUUAAAGCAUUAUGCUAUGAGGAGAAGGGCUCCCCGCUAUUCGAUUCUGCUGCUGUCCAGUCCAGACUCAGCGCUUUAACGAAAUGAAAUCUAAUUAUGGACGGGUUAUUAUCAAUCUUGUUUGUCAAAAAACAUCGUCGUACUCCAGCUAUUCGUAGAUAUCUGAUAAUCUAUCUGCUCUUUGAUUUCCAGUUCGGGUGCUUUGUUUGGCUAACUUUAAGUUUACUUUUUACUGAUUCCAUUUGGUUGUGUGUUUUGGUAAAUGCAAAAGAACCAAAAAUACGAUUAUUUAUACUUUCCAAUAAAAGCUCAUCAAUUGUUGGUCAAUCAAGCAACAUCGUGGGGCCUUUUUGGGGUUGUCGUUCUUCGGGGGGAGGUGUUCUGUUUGUGGGCGAAAUCAAUCUAUCAAAUCUGCAGAAACCUGGUUGGUCUUUCAACUAAAUCCUAAAUCAGCUGAAGCUUUUACACUAAAACUAAACCUAAACCUAAAUUGUUUGCACAAUUGCUUUGUUUUUGUUGUUUGAAGCUUUUCUGCUAUCGAUAGUAUUGCACAAUAUUAU
Molecule: long non-coding RNA, 3327 nt
Filed under: Drosophila guanche
Lineage: Eukaryota; Metazoa; Arthropoda; Insecta; Diptera; Drosophilidae
Source: RNAcentral